UACGGGGGGUGCGAGCGUUGUCCGGAAUCACUGGGCGUAAAGGGCGCGUAGGUGGUUUGAUAAGGGUGUGGUGAAAGUCCGGGGCUCAACCUCGGAUCGGCCGUGGCGACUCGUGGGCUGGAGCACUGUAGAGGCGGGUGGAAUUCCGGGUGUAGCGGUGGAAUGCGUAGAGAUCCGGAAGAACACCAGUGGCGAAGGCGGCCCGCUGGGCAGUGGCUGACGCUGAGGCGCGACAGCGUGGGGAGCAAACAGG
RNAcentral lists this ribosomal RNA (253 nucleotides) under uncultured bacterium. RNAcentral's name for it is "partial 16S ribosomal RNA". It matches the Rfam family "Bacterial small subunit ribosomal RNA", at positions 524 to 776 of the family's 1533-position model. The record is from RNAcentral.